Molecule: long non-coding RNA, 623 nt
Organism: Mauremys reevesii (Reeves's turtle)
Lineage: Eukaryota; Metazoa; Chordata; Testudines; Geoemydidae
Exons: 3
Source: RefSeq, a predicted model, not a curated record
AUAGUACUAAUACACUGAAAGCCUGUGAAACUUACAGGGAAUUAUACAGAGGUUAAUGCUGGGUUUUAACAGUAGUUGCAGAUUUACAUCAAGUCUUUUAACUUUAGUGCUAAUUAGCAUCUGAGAAGGGUUCUAAAAAAAGAUAGUGGAACAGAACAAGAGCCCUGCCUGUGUAGGUGGAUCAGGGAAAUAUCCUUUUUUGUCUGUGAAAAAGGGAGAGUUUCCAAAGGCUGAAAAAUAACCUAAUCUCUGGCAGUCUGAUGAAAGGAAGUACACGUCACUCAUGGAAAAUCAUUUGGUGCACCUGGAAGAAAUGAAAAGGAGGAAUCAAUGUUGUGAUUUCUUUACAAUCUGGACUUCAGAAAUGAAGGUUACAGUGGGCAAGAAGGAUGUCCAGGACAGGUGUUGCUGUCUUCCUUAUGUCAUGGAGCAGAAUCCGGUGACUCCUCUGCAACAGAGAAAACAUGAAUAUACGGUAUAUCAAUGAAAAAUGCUUUGAACAGUCUGGAUCAGAACAUCGCCCUGUGCCUCAACCAUGGAAAUACCUGUUCAUCUAGUCUGGGAAUUUGCUAUCAGUGUUUGGUAUCUGAUUUCUGCUACUUUCAUUCAGAAUAGUUUAGGGA